Molecule: unclassified non-coding RNA, 147 nt
Filed under: soil metagenome
Description: partial internal transcribed spacer 1
Source: RNAcentral
CCGAGUUUACAACUCCCAAACCCCUGUGAACAUACCUUAUGUUGCCUCGGCGGAUCAGCCCGCUCCCGGUAAAACGGGACGGCCCGCCAGAGGACCCCUAAACUCUGUUUCUAUAUGUAACUUCUGAGUAAAACCAUAAAUAAAUCA